Molecule: long non-coding RNA, 1918 nt
Filed under: Homo sapiens (human)
Lineage: Eukaryota; Metazoa; Chordata; Mammalia; Primates; Hominidae
Description: HSALNT0261669
Source: RNAcentral
GGCAUUGCGGGAGGGGUCGGCUUCUCCUAGACAGGGAGAGAGAGGAGGUGGGUUACAUAUGGAUUCCGGAUUGCAGGGUCCCUGCCAUCGGGGAGAUUGUCUGGAUUGCACCUCUGCCCGGAAUAGACCAGGGAGACGUGUGCGCGAGUGGAGUAGCUUCUUCUAGCGCUGGGGAUAGGAUGGUUAUAAAUAGGUCCGGUGUAAGGAAGCCACUGCCUUAGGGAAGGCUUCUUGGAUUGCACCCAUUAUGCAAGAAGAAGAGAAGUAGCUUAAGAAGCUGGCUUCAUGGGUAAAGAGAGGGAGCGACAAGCAGGUUAUACCCAGGAUUAGGUUGUGUCCUCUCCAGAGGGAUGGGGGUGUAUAUUAAGGCCCAUUUGUCACAACCUCCAGGGAGGCCACCCUUGUUACAGUCCUGAUCAGGACAAGGUAGGUAUCAUUGGCCUGGGCCACCAGGGCUGUUAAAAGCCCUUGGGAGGUGAGGGGUUUUUGACUCUAAGGGCAGAGGGAGGCCAGGGGACUGAAGCUCUGUGCAGCGGGAGGUGGAAAACAGGAAAGGCCAACUGAUUGCACUUUGUAGGGUGGGAUACGGUCUCCAGGAAUGGGUUCUGAUUGCAUCCUAUGAAAGGCAGGGUGAUCACCUUCUCCAGGGAACACAGGCAGCCUGGAUCACACCUCUCAGGAGACCAGCUGGGGUUGCACACAUUUUGAGGGUGAGAAAAUGGGUGGGCCUCCAAGAUUGAACUCAACCCUGCUCUGGUAUCAGAAUGCCCCACAAGCUUCUGUGCUCUCACCAAGACAUGGAUCGGCCCAUCUUUGACCUUCAUCUGUUAUCUUUCCUACUUCAUUCUUCCCCACCCAGCCUAGACUCCAACCCUCCAGUCAAAUCCUGGUCCUGCCUGCCUGGUGAACCCAUAAAAACUCCCCAGGCUCAGUUCUCCUCCCCAAGCCACCAUCACCUCCAGCCUGGACUACUGUAGUCACCUCCUUGCCAUUCAGAGCAGGUCACGCUGCUUCUAGGAUUUACCACAAUGUGUGGAAUUAUUUUAUGUGACUAUAUAUUUACCAUCUCUAACUUCUAUGAGGGCAGAGACCAGUACCACUCAGAUGUCUAAUAGGCAUCUCAAAACCCAAAUUCCUGAUUCUUCUAACCCAGCGUGCUUCUCCUGGAGUACAGGGCAGCUCCAUCCUUCUAGCUGCUCAGGCCAGGAGCUUUGGGGUCCAGGACCCUGGACUGCUCUUUCUCUCACUGCACUUGUCAUGCUCCCAGUGGGUGGCACCAAACUGCAAUGCCAAGUCCGGACCUUUUCAAACUCCAGGUACCUAAAUGAAAUUUAGCAAAUCCUGUUUGAAUGUAGUUUCAAAACAGCCAAACACUUAGGACCGUCUCCACGGCAGCACCCUAGUCUGGUCUGUCUCUCUCCUGGACGGCUGCAUGGGGCUCCCCACAGGUCUCCUGCUCCCGCCUUGCCUCCUCUACAAACACUCCUUCACAUAACAGCCAGUGGGAUCAUGCCCUGAAUCUUCUCAGCAUCCUCCCCUGGAUCCCAUCUCACUUUAGUAUAAUAACUGCUAAUGGCCGAUGAGGCCCUACAUGUGUGGCUCCUUGUUUCUCCAACCUCCUCUCCUUCAGCCUUGAUGUCGUUUACUCUGACACCUGAGGAAUACUCCUGCUCCAGAUGUUUGCACUGGCUCUCCCCUCUGCCCUGAGUACUCUUCCUGCCACUGAGCCCAAGAAGCAGCCCUUAGGACUCAUCUGCAGUGACCGUCGGGAACAUCUGUCACAGGUGAGCAGCAACUCUUGGAAUCUUUCUUCCCCCGACUUUUGACUCACUCCUUCUGUGCUCCUGGAUUUCCUGCUCAAUUCUCUUUUGGGGACGCCUCUUCAUGUCCUCAGGUCCUGCCUAGCACCCAUCUCUUU